CUCAUUUUGAAAUAAAUGUGAGCUCGGGAGUAAUGAGGAGUGAUGAAAGGAUUUAUUCAUCGCUCCUGAGCUCACAUUUAUCCCAUAAUGG
This is a non-coding RNA of Glycine soja, 91 nucleotides long. NCBI's taxonomy places the organism in Eukaryota, Viridiplantae, Streptophyta, Magnoliopsida, Fabales, Fabaceae. The record is from Rfam.